GAUGAACGCUGGCGGCGUGCCUAACACAUGCAAGUCGAGCGAAGCACCUUACUUGAUUUCUUCGGAAUGAAGUUUUUGCGACUGAGUGGCGGACGGGUGAGUAACGCGUGGGUAACCUGCCUCAUACAGGGGGAUAACAGUUAGAAAUGACUGCUAAUACCGCAUAAGCGCACAGUGCCGCAUGGCAGUGUGUGAAAAACUCCGGUGGUGUGAGAUGGAUCCGCGUCUGAUUAGCCAGUUGGCGGGGUAACGGCCCACCAAAGCGACGAUCAGUAGCCGACCUGAGAGGGUGACCGGCCACAUUGGGACUGAGACACGGCCCAA
This 324-nucleotide ribosomal RNA is filed under the name uncultured bacterium. RNAcentral's name for it is "bacterial SSU rRNA". It matches the Rfam family "Bacterial small subunit ribosomal RNA", at positions 28 to 334 of the family's 1533-position model. The record is from RNAcentral.